RNAcentral lists this long non-coding RNA (292 nucleotides) under Mus musculus (house mouse). RNAcentral's name for it is "RIKEN cDNA 2600002D14 gene". Lineage: Eukaryota; Metazoa; Chordata; Mammalia; Rodentia; Muridae. The record is from RNAcentral.
GAGGCAGACCUGGGUUGAACAGUUAAAAUUUACUAGAAAGGAUAAAAGAAAAUAAUGGGCUAGUGAGAUGGCUCAGCGGGUAAGAGCACUGACUGCUCUUCCAAAGGUCCUGAAUUCAAAUCUCAGCAACCAUAUUGUGGCUCACAACCACCCGUAAUGAGAUCUGACACCCUCUUCUGGUGCAUCUGAAGACAGCUAUAGUACUUAUUUAUAAUAAAUAAAUCUUUGUAAAAAAAAAAAAGGAAAAAAAUACUAUCCAUCAGAGAAAUCAAAUACAUAAGUAUUUAAAAUC